GGCUUCAUAGCUCAGUUAGUAAGAGUAUUGCACCGGCAUCGCAAGGUCAUGGGUUCGAAUCUUGUUCAAGCCU
RNAcentral lists this transfer RNA (73 nucleotides) under Desmophyllum pertusum. Its description in RNAcentral is "Lophelia pertusa tRNA". It matches the Rfam family "tRNA". From Rfam's summary of the family: Transfer RNA (tRNA) molecules are approximately 80 nucleotides in length. Their secondary structure includes four short double-helical elements and three loops (D, anti-codon, and T loops). The record is from Rfam by way of RNAcentral. Lineage: Eukaryota; Metazoa; Cnidaria; Anthozoa; Scleractinia; Caryophylliidae.